RNAcentral lists this long non-coding RNA (363 nucleotides) under Carica papaya (papaya). RNAcentral's name for it is "long non-coding RNA (CPAP_LNC010233)". Lineage: Eukaryota; Viridiplantae; Streptophyta; Magnoliopsida; Brassicales; Caricaceae. The record is from RNAcentral.
AUAAGUCGAGAACCUAAGAGAAGGUAUAUUAUCACCCAUUUGAGAAUUAUAAGCAAACCAUAUUCCUAAAAGUAGUUUCUUAAACAAAGUGAAAUGAUAUCCUUGAACCUUCGAGAAGAGAAUAACAAGUAUUAUUAGAGAACAACAACCAGUAGUGGGACAACUAUCUGGACAUGUUUCCCAUUUCUAAGUUGAAGUAAAUGAUUAGAUAUAACUCAAGAUCUUACCUAACUUGGCCUCCUAUUUUCCUCAGAUAUCCUGAGUAGAUACAAACAAAUGAAUAAGGUAAAAUAGGAGAGACCACCCUAGAAACUAAAUAACUAGUCAUGCCCUCUAGAAGUGAUCAUUUGAAAUCUUUGGGAG